GGCUCCAUAGUGUAGCGGUUACACAUCUGCUUUACGCACAGAAGCUCCCGGGUUUGUGCCCCAUUGGAGCUA
This 72-nucleotide transfer RNA is filed under the name Pteropus alecto (black flying fox). It matches the Rfam family "tRNA". From Rfam's summary of the family: Transfer RNA (tRNA) molecules are approximately 80 nucleotides in length. Their secondary structure includes four short double-helical elements and three loops (D, anti-codon, and T loops). The record is from Rfam by way of RNAcentral. Lineage: Eukaryota; Metazoa; Chordata; Mammalia; Chiroptera; Pteropodidae.